UUAAGUUGUUGCGGUAAAAAGCUCGUAGUUGGAUUUCUGUUGAGGACGUCCGGUCCGUACCAUGUACGCGCAUCUGGCUCGGCCUCGGCAUCCUCUCGAUAGACGUUUCUGCGCUUGAUUGCGUGGAGCGGAUUUCGGGACUUUUACUUUGAGGAAAUUAGAGUGUUCACGGCAGGCUAUCGCCAGAAUACAUUAGCAUGGAAUAAUAUUAUAGGAUCUCGGUUCUAUUUUGUUGGUUUCUAGUACCGGGGUAAUGAUUAAUAGGGACAAUUGGGGGCAUUUGUAUCAACACGUCAGAGGUGGAAUUCUUUGAUUGUGUUGCGACAAACUACUGCGAAAGCAUUUGCCAAGGAUGUUUCCAUUGAUCAAGAACGAAAGUAAGGGGAUCGAAGACGAUUAGAUACCGUCGUAGUCUUUACCAUAAACUAUGCCGACUAGAGAUGGGGCAUCGUUCACUUACGACUUGCUCCAGAUCUUAUGAGAUAUCAAAGUCUUUGGGUUCCGGGGGGAGUAUGGUCG
Molecule: ribosomal RNA, 519 nt
Filed under: uncultured Syndiniales
Lineage: Eukaryota; Dinophyceae; Syndiniales
Description: SSU rRNA
Rfam family: Eukaryotic small subunit ribosomal RNA
Source: RNAcentral